CCUACGGGGCGCAGCAGUCGAGAAUCAUUCACAAUGGGGGAAACCCUGAUGGUGCGACGCCGCGUGGGGGAAUGAAGGUCUUCGGAUUGUAAACCCCUGUCAUGUGGGAGCAAAUUAAAAAGAUAGUACCACACGAGGAAGAGACGGCUAACUCUGUGCCAGCAGCCGCGGUAAUACAGAGGUCUCAAGCGUUGUUCGGAAUCACUGGGCGUAAAGCGUGCGUAGGCUGUUUCGUAAGUCGUGUGUGAAAGGCGCGGGCUCAACCCGCGGACGGCACAUGAUACUGCGAGACUAGAGUAAUGGAGGGGGAACCGGAAUUCUCGGUGUAGCAGUGAAAUGCGUAGAUAUCGAGAGGAACACUCGUGGCGAAGGCGGGUUCCUGGACAUUAACUGACGCUGAGGCACGAAGGCCAGGGGAGCGAAAGGGAUUAGAUACCCGGGUAGUC
This 446-nucleotide ribosomal RNA is filed under the name uncultured bacterium. RNAcentral describes it as "partial 16S ribosomal RNA". It matches the Rfam family "Bacterial small subunit ribosomal RNA", at positions 338 to 795 of the family's 1533-position model. The record is from RNAcentral.